ACAAGAGAGGUCAACUGGAGUGGAAGCCAAAGGACGGGGCCGAGAAUAUGUGAUCGAUCCGAAGAACCACUCCCAGAUACGAUUCUGCUCCCCCUUCGUACUACCAUGAGAUUCUUGCCCGGCUUUCUUUCGGCUUAAGAAGGCUGCGGUGAGAAUGAGAAUCACUUCGGAACUCUAGGGGAAUGGGCGUUUUAGGGCGGGAUCUAAAAGCUCUCCAACGUGUUGCGGAGCCUUCGGCCGUGAGAGGGUGGAUGUAAUUCAGCUCGAACGAAGUGAGAGGGAGGUCAUUCAGAACCCGCUGGCUCCAGAACGGGGGGGCGGCUCCAGAGGCGCUGCCGCAGGCGCCAGCACCGACAUAAAUUGCCCACCCCGCUCCCGAUCAAAAAGAGCAUGCGAGACUUCGAAGGGACAUUCACACU
Molecule: long non-coding RNA, 419 nt
Filed under: Nicotiana benthamiana
Lineage: Eukaryota; Viridiplantae; Streptophyta; Magnoliopsida; Solanales; Solanaceae
Description: long non-coding RNA (NBEN_LNC028808)
Source: RNAcentral